Molecule: ribosomal RNA, 497 nt
Filed under: uncultured bacterium
Lineage: Bacteria
Description: partial 16S ribosomal RNA
Rfam family: Bacterial small subunit ribosomal RNA
Source: RNAcentral
GAUGAACGCUGGCGGCGUGCCUAAUACAUGCAAGUCGAGCGAACAGACGAGGAGCUUGCUCCUCUGACGUUAGCGGCGGACGGGUGAGUAACACGUGGAUAACCUACCUAUAAGACUGGGAUAACUUCGGGAAACCGGAGCUAAUACCGGAUAAUAUAUUGAACCGCAUGGUUCAAUAGUGAAAGACGGUUUUGCUGUCACUUAUAGAUGGAUCCGCGCCGCAUUAGCUAGUUGGUAAGGUAACGGCUUACCAAGGCGACGAUGCGUAGCCGACCUGAGAGGGUGGUCGGCCACACUGGAACUGAGACACGGUCCAGACUCCUACGGGAGGCAGCAGUAGGGAAUCUUCCGCAAUGGGCGAAAGCCUGACGGAGCAACGGCGCGUGAGUGAUGAAGGUCUUCGGAUCGUAAAACUCUGUUAUUAGGGAAGAACAAAUGUGUAAGUAACUAUGCACGUCUUGACGGUACCUAAUCAGAAAGCCACGGCUAACUACGUA